This 78-nucleotide transfer RNA is filed under the name Aeromonas phage phiA8-29. RNAcentral describes it as "tRNA-Arg". It matches the Rfam family "tRNA". Rfam says of the family: Transfer RNA (tRNA) molecules are approximately 80 nucleotides in length. Their secondary structure includes four short double-helical elements and three loops (D, anti-codon, and T loops). Lineage: Duplodnaviria; Heunggongvirae; Uroviricota; Caudoviricetes; Pantevenvirales; Ackermannviridae. The record is from RNAcentral.
UCUUCCGUUCGUCUAAGCGGAUAAGACACGGGCCUUCUAAGCCUGAAAUGAAGAUUCGAGUUCUUCACGGAAGACCAG